UGGAUUGAGAUUGGCGGUGUUGUUCAUGCAUUCAUUGGCGGAGAUAGAUCACACCCACAAUCACCUCAGAUAAAAAACAAAAUUGAUGAACUAUUGGUGGAGAUGAAAAGGUUGGGUUAUCAUGGGGAAUCUAGCUAUGUUCUUCAAGACGUUGAAGACGAGGAGAAGGAACAAAUCCUCCUUUAUCAUAGUGAAAAACUAGCUAUUGCAUUCGGAAUUCUUAAUCUCAACCCCAAUAAGCCCAUUCUAGUAACUAAGAAUUUGCGAGUUUGUGGUGAUUGCCAUACCGCUAUAAAACUUAUCUCCCUUAUUACAAAAAGAAAUAUUACAGUAAGAGAUGCAAGCCGAUUCCAUCAUUUCAAGGACGGAAUUUGCAAUUGUGGAGAUUUCUGGUGAGAAUGAGGAUGCAUAUUUUACAGAUGGUGCCUCAGUUAACUCAAGCGACUGUGCUUUCGACUUUUCGCUAUUCAUUCCUCAGGAGCUAUGGAGGAACUGGCAAUCCAUGUAAAAGAUGAUUGAGAUUUGAGCCUUCUGAUGAAAGUGACCUAAAUCCAUUUCUGAAGCUGGUAUUAUUUUUUCGAUGGUUUGACUUCUUUAGAUCAGGAAAAUGAACGAAAUUUAGCAAGAGAAAGGCCUUUUGAUGAUUCAAUGAACAGUGUGAAUAUUGGCUUUGCCUAGGAAAGGGAUUAUGAAGGUGGGACUGCUGGUUGCAGGAACCAUAUAGUCUUCGCAGGAUGGCCUGUACCGGUGCAUCUCGGCUUUCAAAAUGAGUUUCAUUCACUGUUUCAAGAAUGGGUUAGAGUCAUUACCAUUACAACACUAAUGACUGAUGAGGAAAUUUUGCAAGGUUUGUGACGACUGGCUAAGACUCCAUGGCUAAAAAAUCCCAUAUGUUGGAAUCUUCAUGUUUCGCAAGUGGCUCAAUUUCAUGUUUCAGAAAACCAUAGUACUAUCCUAACUCCGUGUUAUCUUAACCAAGUCCUAGAGACUCAAUAUGCCUCGAAAAUAUGAAAAAGCAGACCUUGAACUACUCGAUUAAAUUGUCCCCAGUUGCAUGUUUUAUCCCUUUAAUUGGGAUACCAGAAACGCAUCAGAGGGACAAGUGACUAGGGCUAUGCUAGGCCAAACACAAGAUUCAGUUGGGUUGAGUUCUUUUAUAUUGUUAGAUCCUUGUGCAACUUUCUUAGAUCCCACCUUAUAUUCCAAGAAAGCCAUGAUGCUACAAUCAUACAAAAAAAUUUGGUACACCUGGAUGGAGACGACUGGUUAAACACCAUGCUCAGAGCAGGCGUUAAAACAUAUGAAGUACGUCAGUAUCAGGUGGUUGGCACCAACUCAAUGAAUCUACAAACAGGGUGAAAAAUAUCAAUGAUGACAACAAUAUUACAACGAUUGCCAACUACACUUCCCAAUCAACCAUUCUUUCCAGUUAACGCCUGUCUGCAUUUGCAACCUUAAGCCACCACAAUUAACUUAUGUCGCUUCCUCCUCGUUUCUUUCUGUGACUUUCUUUUGUAUUUUCACUUUUUCUCAAGGGCGUGUGUAGGGAAGGAGGGGGGAGAG
This 1563-nucleotide unclassified non-coding RNA is filed under the name Hevea brasiliensis (rubber tree). The record is from RNAcentral. Lineage: Eukaryota; Viridiplantae; Streptophyta; Magnoliopsida; Malpighiales; Euphorbiaceae.